RNAcentral lists this ribosomal RNA (1791 nucleotides) under Tuber magnatum (white Piedmont truffle). RNAcentral's name for it is "SSU rRNA". It matches the Rfam family "Eukaryotic small subunit ribosomal RNA". The record is from RNAcentral. Lineage: Eukaryota; Fungi; Ascomycota; Pezizomycetes; Pezizales; Tuberaceae.
CCUGGUUGAUCCUGUCAGUAGUCAUAUGCUUGUCUCAAAGAUUAAGCCAUGCAUGUCUAAGUAUAAGCAAUCUUUACAGUGAAACUGCGAAUGGCUCAUGAAAUCAGUUAUCGUUUAUUGGAUAGUUUCUUUGCUACUUGGAUAGCCGUGGUAAUUCUAGAGCUAAUACAUGCUAAAAAUCCCGACCCCUGGAAGGGAUGUAUUUAUUAGAUAAAAAACCAGCGGCCUCGGCCUCCUUGGUGAUUCAUGAUAACUUAACGAAUCGCAUGGCCUUGCGCCGGCGAUGGUUCAUUCAAAUUUCUGUCCUAUCAACUUUCGAUAGUAGUAUAGUGGCCUACCAUGGUUUCAAUGGGUAACGGAGAAUUAGGGUUCUAUUCUGGAGAGGGAGCCUGAGAAAUGGGUACCAUAUUCAAGGAAGGCAGCAGGUGCACAAAUUACCCAAUCCCGACACGGGGAGGCAGUGACAAUAAAUACUGAUACAGGGCUCUUUUGGGUCUUGUAAUUGGAAUGAGUACAAUUUAAAUCCCUUAACGAGGAACAAUUGGAGGGCAAGUCUGGUGCCAGCAGCCGUGGUAAUUCCAGCUCCAAUAGCAUAUAUUACAGUUUUUGCAGUUAAAAAGCUCGUAGUUGAACCUUGGGCCUGGCUGGCCGGUCCGCCUCACCGCAUGCACUGGUCCGGCAGGAUCUUUCCUUCUGGCUAGCCGCAUGCCCUUCACUGGGUGUGUCGGGGAACCAGAACUUUUACUUUGAAAAAUUAGAGUGUUCAAAGCAGGCAUAUACUCGAAUACAUUAGCAUGGAAUAAUAGAAUAGGACAUGCGGUUCUAUUUUGUUGAUUUCUAGGACCGCCAUAAUGAUUAAUAGGGAUAGUCGGGGGCUUCAGUAUUCAAUUGUCAGAGGUGAAAUUCUUGGAUUUAUGGAAGACUAAGUACUGCGAAAGCAUUUGCCAAGAAUGUUUUCAUGAAUCAGUGAACGAAAGUUAGGGGAUCGAAGACGAUCAGAUACCGUCGUAGUCUUAACCAUAAACUAUGCCGACUAGGGAUCGGGCGAUGUUCUUUUUCUGACUCGCUCGGCACCUUACGAGAAAUCAAAGUCUUUGGGUUCUGAGGGGAGUAUGGUCACAAGGCUGAAACUUAAAGGAAUUGAUGGAAGGGCACCACCAGGAGUGGAGCCUGUCGCUUAAUUUGACUCGACACGGGGAAACUCACCAGGUCCAGACACAUUAAGAAUUGACAGAUUGAGAGCUCUUUCUUGAUCAUGUGGGUGGUGGUGCAGGGCCGUUCUUAGUUGGUGGAGUGAUUUGUUUGAUUAAUUGCGAUAACGAAUGAGACCUUAACCUCCUAAAUAGUCCGACCCGCAUCUCGCGGGCCGCUGGCUUCUUAGAGGGACUAUUGUCUCAAGCCAAUGGAAGUUUGAGGCAACAACCGGUCUGUGAUGCCCUUAGAUGUUCUGGGCCGCACGCGCGCUACACUGACAGAGCCAGCGAGUUCAUCACCUUGGCCGGAAGGUCUGAGUAGUCUCGUUAAACUCUGUCGUGGUGGGGAUAGAGCAUUGCAAUUAUUGCUCUUCAACGAGGAAUUCCUAGUAAGCGCAAGUCAUCAGCUUGCGUUGAUUACGUCCCUGCCCUUUGUACACACCGCCCGUUGCUACUACAUAUUAAAUGGCUUUGUGAGGCCUUCGGAGGCCCUGCAGAGGUUGGCAACGACGACUGCGGGGCACAAAGUUGGUCAAACUUGGUCAUUUAGAGGAAGUAAAAGGCGUAACAAGGUUUCUGUAGGUGAACCUGGGGAAGG